Molecule: ribosomal RNA, 729 nt
Filed under: uncultured eukaryote
Lineage: Eukaryota
Description: SSU rRNA
Rfam family: Eukaryotic small subunit ribosomal RNA
Source: RNAcentral
CGCGUGCACUGGCUCGGCUGGGUCUUUCCUUCUGGAGAACCGCAUGCCCUUCACUGGGCGUGCCGGGGAACCAGGACUUUUACUCUGAACAAAUUAGAUCGCUUAAAGAAGGCCUAUGCUCGAAUACAUUAGCAUGGAAUAAUAGAAUAGGACGUGUGGUUCUAUUUUGUUGGUUUCUAGGACCGCCGUAAUGAUUAAUAGGGACAGUCGGGGGCAUCAGUAUUCAAUUGUCAGAGGUGAAAUUCUUGGAUUUAUUGAAGACUAGCUACUGCGAAAGCAUUUGCCAAGGAUGUUUUCAUUAAUCAGGAACGAAAGUUAGGGGAUCGAAGACGAUCAGAUACCGUCGUAGUCUUAACCAUAAACUAUGCCGAUUAGGGAUCGGACGGCGUUAUUUUUUGACCCGUUCGGCACCUUACGAUAAAUCAAAAUGUUUGGGCUCCUGGGGGAGUAUGGUCGCAAGGCUGAAACUUAAAGAAAUUGACAGAAGGGCACCACCAGGGGUGGAGCCUGCGGCUUAAUUUGACUCAACACGGGGAAACUCACCAGGUCCAGACACGAUGAGGAUUGACAGAUUGAGAGCUCUUUCUUGAUUUCGUGGGUGGUGGUGCAUGGCCGUUCUUAGUUGGUGGAGUGAUUUGUCUGCUUAAUUGCGAUAACGAACGAGACCUUAACCUGCUAAAUAGCCCGUAUUGCUUUGGCAGUACGCCGGCUUCUUAGAGGGACUAUCGG